This 219-nucleotide long non-coding RNA is filed under the name Lathyrus oleraceus (garden pea). Its description in RNAcentral is "Pisum sativum (pea) long non-coding RNA (PSAT_LNC033673)". The record is from RNAcentral. Lineage: Eukaryota; Viridiplantae; Streptophyta; Magnoliopsida; Fabales; Fabaceae.
UCGGUCACAAGUCACCUAUAGGCGAUAACAUUGUCUAAAACCGUUUGUGUGGAAAAACCCUACGCUUGUUCGACACUUUGUUGGGAGCCGUUCCUCACAGAGUCAUUGCGUCGAAGUUUGAACAAGUCUCACUUGCACUAGCACAUGUCCUAGGAUCAACUGGUCGAUCCUGAAAGUAACCCUUCGUUUUAAGACCAGGGAGGACCAGCGGUUGUUUAC